AAAAUCCGUCGACUUUAAAAAUCGUGAGGGUUCAAGUCCCUCUAUCCCCAAAAAAAGCCUAUUUGACCCCCAAAAAAAUAUUUAACCUAUCCCC
This 94-nucleotide transfer RNA is filed under the name Dolichandrone spathacea. Its description in RNAcentral is "partial tRNA-Leu". Lineage: Eukaryota; Viridiplantae; Streptophyta; Magnoliopsida; Lamiales; Bignoniaceae. The record is from RNAcentral.